RNAcentral lists this ribosomal RNA (464 nucleotides) under Promyrmekiaphila sp. DAM1. RNAcentral describes it as "partial 16S ribosomal RNA". It matches the Rfam family "Bacterial large subunit ribosomal RNA", at positions 1796 to 2612 of the family's 2925-position model. RNAcentral also lists the same sequence under 1 other name. Lineage: Eukaryota; Metazoa; Arthropoda; Arachnida; Araneae; Euctenizidae. The record is from RNAcentral.
UCGCCUGUUUAUCAAAAACAUCUCUAAAUGUCCUUUAUUUUUAGUAAGACCUGCUCAAUGACCUUUUAAAUUGCCGCAUUCAAUGUGCUAAGGUAGCAUAAUCAUUUGCCUUUUAAUUGUAGGCUUGCAUGAAUGGUUGUUCAUGUAGAUUUCUUUAUUAACUUUAUUUCUUUAAUUUUUCUUAUUAGUUAAAAGACUGAUAUUUGCUAGAAGGACGACAAGACCCUAUCGAGCUUUACUUAUGUUGAACUGGGGCGGUAAAAAACUAAAUCUUUCUUUUUUUCUUUCAAACAUUCUUUUUAUAAAAAUUUUUAAGUUACCGUAGGGAUAACAGCAUAAUUUUCUUUUAAAGUUCUUAUUAAAAAGAAAGUUUAUGACCUCGAUGUUGAAUUAUUUAUCUUUUUGAAGCAAAAUUUAGAAAAGAAAGUCUGUUCGACUUUUAAAACUUUACGUGAUCUGAGUUC